AAAUACAACUUUCAGCAACGGAUCUCUUGGCUCUCGCAUCGAUGAAGAACGCAGCGAAAUGCGAUAAGUAAUGUGAAUUGCAGAAUUCAGUGAAUCAUCGAAUCUUUGAACCACCNUGCGCUCCUUGGUAUUCCGAGGAGCAUGCCUGUUUGAGUGUCAUUAAAUUCUCAACCUCACCUG
RNAcentral lists this ribosomal RNA (180 nucleotides) under Parasola lilatincta. Its description in RNAcentral is "5.8S ribosomal RNA". The stretch from base 7 to 159 matches the Rfam family "5.8S ribosomal RNA". From Rfam's summary of the family: 5.8S ribosomal RNA (5.8S rRNA) is a component of the large subunit of the eukaryotic ribosome. It is transcribed by RNA polymerase I as part of the 45S precursor that also contains 18S and 28S rRNA. The record is from RNAcentral. Lineage: Eukaryota; Fungi; Basidiomycota; Agaricomycetes; Agaricales; Psathyrellaceae.